GAUGAACGCUGGCGGCGUGCUUAACACAUGCAAGUCGAACGGAAAGGCCCAAGCUUGCUUGGGUACUCGAGUGGCGAACGGGUGAGUAACACGUGGGUGAUCUGCCCCGCACUUCGGGAUAAGCCUGGGAAACUGGGUCUAAUACCGGAUAGGACAGUGGUUUGGAUGCCAUUGUGGAAAGUUUUUUCGGUGUGGGAUGAGCUCGCGGCCUAUCAGCUUGUUGGUGGGGUAAUGGCCUACCAAGGCGUCGACGGGUAGCCGGCCUGAGAGGGUGUACGGCCACAUUGGGACUGAGAUACGGCCCAGACUCCGACGGGAGGCAGCAGGGGGGAAUAUUGCACAAUGGGCGCAAGCCUGAUGCAGCGACGCCGCGUGGGGGAUGACGGACUUCGGGUUGUAAACUCCUUUCGCUAGGGACGAAGCGUUAUGUGACGGUACCUAGAGAAGAAGCACCGGCUAACUACGUG
RNAcentral lists this ribosomal RNA (467 nucleotides) under uncultured bacterium. Its description in RNAcentral is "partial 16S ribosomal RNA". It matches the Rfam family "Bacterial small subunit ribosomal RNA", at positions 28 to 507 of the family's 1533-position model. The record is from RNAcentral.